This 3587-nucleotide long non-coding RNA is filed under the name Homo sapiens (human). RNAcentral's name for it is "HSALNT0119633". The record is from RNAcentral. Lineage: Eukaryota; Metazoa; Chordata; Mammalia; Primates; Hominidae.
AACAACCCAAGGCUAUGAUUGUUUUUGUGAAAAAGGAAUAACCAUACAAGAAAGUAGUAGAAUAGAGUAGAAUGUUAGAUAAUUCUUACCUAGCUCAACAAUCUGAGAUAUUCCAUGGCCUUGAAAAAUAGAAACAAAAAAUCACUUGUUUACUAUGUGCCAGGCACUGUUUUAAUCAUUUUACAUGUAUUAAUUUAUAAUUUAUGGCUACCCUAUAAUAUAGAUAUGUAGUUUUUUUAUUAAAUUUUAUAGACUGGAGAGCUGAUGCACUGAGUGAAGCAUAGUAAAUGAGAGUCAAGGGUGAGAUCCCAGCAGUUUGGCUCCAGAGCCUACAUUCUUUAUAUUCUGUACAUCUUCUAUAUUUCUAUAAUCAUGGUAUGGAAGGGAUGAUGGAUUAAAAGUUGGUAAGUAAAUCUGUAUUUAUUUCUGAUCUUAGCAUUAAAUUAUUGUGUGAUAUGGGGCAAAUCACGUCACCCCCUCUGACCACAAUUUCUAUAUUCUCAACCUGAAAAGAUCUUGAGCCAUUUCUUCUGAUUCUCAGGGAUUAAAAUCUGUGGAACAUGCUUACUGCUCUCUUCAUUAAGCUAUAGUCUGGGAUUUGGAAGUUUCCCUAGCUGAAGACACUUUGCCACUAACACAUCAUUCUGGAAAAAUAUUUUGAUGUCAGAAAAGACUGUCAUUUUGGGCCAACUUAGAAAGGAACGCGGUAUUGGGAACGCUCAAGACUUUGUGAAAAGCAGUUAGCAGUUCAGUUUUCUUCUGGUGGAGAAUGCAUACACAAUGAAAAAGCAAGGCCAGCAUAAUUGUGUCUUAUUUGAUUCUGUCAUUCAAAAUCAGAGAGUUUGAUUUAGGACAUGCUGUUCUUGGGAGUUUGUACAAUUGCCCCUAUUCUGAGCACAAACCCUGCAUGAUACCUCUUAAAAAAAAACUAAUAUUUGUGCUACAUUUGAGCUUUCUCAGGCUUCUGCUUAAAUAUUAGGAGUAAUUUAAACAUCUGAUUUAAAAUAUAUAUUGUUAUGUUCAGAGAUAAAUAGCUAAGUGUUGUUUGUACAUGUAUAUAUUAAAAAUAGAUAUUAUGUGUAAAUAAUUUGGAAAACAUUAAUAAAUGACAACAAAGAUUAUUUUUUAAAUAGAAGAUUGAUAGCUCUCAUCAGGAAAGAUUAAUGUAGUUAAGCCAUUUGGUCAUAAAACCUUAGAGUGGAAAAUACCUUAAAGUGCUAUCCCACCCAGCUUCUUUUUACCAGUGAGUGCCCUCACAAAAGCCUUGUGGAUGAUCAUUUUAUCCUUGCUUGAAUAAUUCCAGAGAUUGAGAAUUCACUGGAUUUUUCGACAGCCCAUUUUAUUUUUGGACAGCUUUAACUGUUGGUAAGUCUUUCGUCUUAUAUCAAAAUAUCCCUUCUCAUGAUGUGUCUCCACUACUCUUUGCCUGGCCUCUGGAGCAAUGCCCAAGAAAUCUAAUCUUCCUCCACCUGACAGCACUUUGGACAGAGGGAAGUCCCAUUUUAUGUGACAAAAGCAUUCCUAAGACCCUCACAUAUUCAAAACUCAUGGAAAAUGAGACUAAUUCCGAUAAAAAUGGUAGUCAGUCUUGUUUACUGGCUAAUGUGGUGCUUCCGUGUAUCAAUAAGGUGAGUACAAUUCACUGGCCUACUAGAUUUUAACCUAUAUAAUUCUUGAUUAAUUUUUAACUGUGGAGAGUUGCCUUUAGAGAAUCAGGAGAAUCAUUUCAAACUCACUUAAAGAGGAAAGCCCUGUAUAUGAAGAUAACUGUUAAAUCAUCACAGCUUCUCUUCCCGAAAAACAAACCACUUAGUGUAUAAGAACAGUAACAGGCAUCAUAUUAGUCUACCAAAAAGUCCAUGGCACCUCCAUUUCUAGAGGUCUGUAAGAACAAGAAAAAUAGCUCUUUGGAGAGAUUCUUUGAUUUGCAUAUCCAGAAGCUAAGAAGUAGACCAGGUGACCCACUGAGAUUACCUAGCAUUGAUGGCAUUCUGACUCCUGCUCUCUGAGCUGAGGUUUCUUAGAUGUGACCGCACUUAACUGUUUCCAGUGGUAGAUAUAAGACACACCUAACAACAUACAGAUUUAAAAUAUGUAUGGUGGGCUUAGCAUGGUGGCUCAUGCCUGUAAUCCCAGCACUUUGGGAGGCCGAGGCGGGCAGAUCACCUGAGGUCAGGAGUUCAAGACCAGCCUGGUCAACAUGGUGAAACCCGUCUCUACUAAAAAUAAAAAAAUUAGCUGGGCAUGGUGGCACGCACCUGUAAUCCCAGCUACUCAGGAGGCUGAGGCAGGAGAAUUGCUUGAACCUGGAAGGCAGAGGUUGCAGUGAGCCGAGAUCAUGCCACUGCACUCCAGCCCGGGCAAUAGAGCAAGACUCUGUCUCAAAAAAAAAAAAAAAAAAAAAAAAUUUGUGGUGUAGUGGGAGUGCCAUAGCAUAUUUUGAUAUCUGUAUCUGUGUUCAUAAUAUAUAAUAUCAAAUAUCCCAAAACUGUUUGUCCUAACCUUUCAGCUUUGCAUUGGAGCCAAUCAUUACUUCUGUUGAAAAUACAUAUUUUAAUCUACAUAUUGUUAUAAAAUAUAUCCUCAAAAAACUCAUGAUGUAAAACCAUCAGAUCUCUCACUCAUUAUCAUGAGAACAGCAUGGAGGAAACCACCCCCAUGAUCCAGUUACUUCCACCUGGUCCUGCCCUGUACACAUGAGGAUUAUUACAAUUCAAGUGAUCACGGGGACACUCUCUGCAUGGGAUGAGCCACCAUUUUCUCACCUGGAAUAAAACCACAAGAUUGGCUCCUUAUCUACUUCAGGUUGAUGUUUAGAAGAUGUGUCAAAUGUGUGUGUGUCAUGAAGUUCAAAAUUCUUCAAAAAUCAAUGGUAAUGCUGAUAUGGCAAAGACGCUAAAUUACAGGCAGCAGUGGGAAGCUACUGAGUAAAAAGCACAGAAUCGUUUCAUAUAUGAGCCCAUGAGGAAUAUUCUGUUCAAGGAAUGGAGACAUAAGAAAAUUACCUAACUAACUCAUGAACCACACAUUAAGAACGUAGUCAGCUGUUGUAAAUGUGUAUCCGACAACAAACCAUUAUGUAUCUUUGGUUUAAUUAUAUGUGUUUAUUACACACCUGUACUGGAGAGUAAAGGCUGCUAUUUGCAUUACUUGUGGUUUUCUCUAUCAAAACAGCAUUAGCAUUAUGAAGCUUAUCAAGGUUAUGUAUAAUUUAUCUGGCUUGAGUAAGUCCCUUUAUUUUGUGCACAAUCAAAACAUGAUUAGGGAGAAAAAUUAGGAAAUGUUUUAAACAUUUUAGCAAAUAAUUUCUAAAUUUAGAAAUGUAGUGAAUUUUACAUUUCUAGACAAAUAUCAUCAAAUUACUAAGCCUUUGUAAAUCAGCCUAUGUUUAGAAAGAGAGUAAAAAUGUUAGAUGAAUUCAACACUUAAUUUUUUCCCCAGAGUUUCAUCUUAAAGAGUAUUAAUUGUAACGAUGCUGAUGGUGUUAUUAACAGAGUACUUAUGAAUAUGGAAAAAUGUCAGACUUCCAAAUAAUCUGAGAUAUGCUAUUUUUACAAGUCACACUAAAUAAACAAUCUAGACAAAAU